AAUUAACAAAAAAUUGGUCACAACUAAUCACAAUAAAUACAUACUUGAUCACAGAGGGUUACCACAAACAAAUCCACACACACUGUAGUCCAGCACCACAAUCCACCAUUGGUCACAACCGCCAUCACCUUCAACUCAAAUCCUAAACAACAAUCACUGCCACUAUCACUUCCAUCAACACCUUCAACAAACCAAACCACCACAACUAUCACAGCAUCUGCCUGUUCUACUACAAUCACUGCUACCACUGCCAUAAACAAAAAGUGUACAUAAAUCCAAUAACUAAUCAAACAAAAUAUAGGCAAGUGAACAUAUGCUUGUAAAAUUAUUCUUUAAACCAAAUCAAAAUCCAACGUUCCAGAUUAAAAAGUAUAAUCAAAAUGGGAUAUACAACCAAUUCAAGAUUGUGAAAAUAAAAUAUUUGCAGCUCAAAUCCCCAGACCUGCAAUUCGAAUGCCCGCAUAACAAAUUUUCGAGCCAUAGUGCAGACGCACAAACGUGCCAACCACACUGAGAAAGGAUCAACCACCGCACCACAUCUACCAUCUCCACAUUCACAAACACCAUCAUCACCAUCCACAAACAACCUCCUAGUGCUCACACCGCGUUGCAGCUGCAUGCUCACAUCAGCUUAAAUCGACACCAAAACAAUGAUGAAGAGAGAGGAUAGCGUCAUAAUCUCACAGAUCAAUACAACGAUGCUCACGUCAUCGUCAUUGACGUCAUCGCCAUCGAGCCACUAGAUAGCGUGAUGAAGAAAGA
This 762-nucleotide long non-coding RNA is filed under the name Olea europaea subsp. europaea. Lineage: Eukaryota; Viridiplantae; Streptophyta; Magnoliopsida; Lamiales; Oleaceae. The record is from RNAcentral.